Molecule: long non-coding RNA, 4862 nt
Organism: Corvus hawaiiensis (hawaiian crow)
Lineage: Eukaryota; Metazoa; Chordata; Aves; Passeriformes; Corvidae
Exons: 4
Source: RefSeq, a predicted model, not a curated record
UCUGUGAUUACAUCAUUAACUUGAUAAAUUAAUAAGGCUGUUGCCUAAAAGUUGGUCAGAUUCUCAGCUUUUAGUUGGAAUUUAAUACAUAUUUUUACUAAAACAGCCUUAAAUGAAUAUUGGUUUUCUUACACAAUAAAAUUGCUGUUUUGAUCUCUGUUUUACAGAGCACUAACAUCAAUAAUUCAGAGAAAUUAAUGGAUGUCCCUUCUGUAUUUCAUGUUGUUUCCUGUUUUGUCAUUAGGUAACAACUCCCCCUAAGGCACAGUUUUUAAACUUCCAAUCCAGCUUGUGCCUUUCUUCCAGAUCUGUAAUUGCAGAUCCUUUUCAAUUUUGUAUUUUUCAUGCCCAGACCUGUGCCCAUGAUAAGAGCCCUGUGUGUAACAUUCCCAACCAUCAGAAGAGAUCUUGCUACUGUGAUUUUAUCCAUUAAUCAGUUUUAUAUGACCUCCUGCUCGCCUGGCUUUUCAAGGUGUGAAAAUUUGCACUGCAGAGGAAUUUUAUGGAUUGCAACCCUAAUUUUUGGAGUAAAAUUCCAAAUAACUGGUCUGGUUAGAAAGCUUUGGGCAGAAUUUUCAGGUUGCUGUGAAUUGCUGUUAAGCCUGUGUUGCCUUUUGGCUGGAAGUACAUCCCAAUUAGUGACCCUUCCAUCGAGCAGUAGCAGCAGAGAAGCGAUUUGGAUUUUUUUUUCAAGUCAGUUGUAAAUGAUUAGUCCAAAAGAGUAGCAUAAAACUGCGAGUCCCCUGCAGGAGUCGGCUGGAGGAAAUUAAAGGAUCAACAACAGAAGGGAAGCACUGAGGUAGGAUUGUUCCAGGCUGCAGCCACAGGCUUUCACAUGCACUCAGGAAAUUGGCUCCAUCAAAAGCUGAGGAUGCAGGAGUGAGGAUGAGGAGGAUCAUGCAGGUGAUGGUUCUAAAUCAUGGCUCAAGAUCCCAGCGUUUUCCAAGGGAGAGGUUUCCUCCCCUCCCCGAAAAAGCAGCGUUUUCCAGGUAAAAAUGGAAUCUUCUCCUUAUGAAUCAAUGAAAGUUCGGCAGAAAUGUGAGCUAUAAAUCUGAUAGAACUCAAUAAAUAACAAAGAUUUGGUUUCCUCAAAAUAAGAUCAGUUGGAUGGGGAUUUUUACUGUGCUGUGCACUGUGUUUGUGUGUGAGAGAGCUGUGAAACCAAUGACUUGGGAGUGCUUGGCAGCCAGGUAAAGCUUUUCCUUUAAAGUCUAAAGUAAAUUCAUUCUGCAGAAAUUUGCAUCUUCUGGGCCUGGGAUGAAGCUGAAACCUUGCUGGUGGAGCAGGAAAGGAUCACAGGAGGGGAAAUGCAUAAAUCUCCAUCUGGAGCCAAGUAUGCUGGGAAGGAGAUGGGGGAGCAGGAGAGCCAGAGCAGGCUGAGAGAGCGUGAAAUUCCAAAGGAAAAGUGGAAGAAAGAAAGAGGAAUGUCCCAGGAAUGAAGCUCUUCUAAUGCUCAAUACUUUCAUCAGAAGUAAACCACUGGAAAGCUGUAAUCCAAAUAAGGAAAUUAGAGCAAAAAUUAACAAUAUUCAGCUAUUCAGAUGUCAAAAGAACCAGCGGAGUUAUUGGUGUUAGAGGUUAUUGCCAGAGGGGAAAACUCAGCAUGUCCUGGGUAAUUAAGCUUCAUUGGAGAGCAUGGAUCCCUUCUCCAGAAGAAAGCAUGAUUCAUUGAAAUGGUGCACUCCAGUAUCUGUGGAAAGGAAAACUGGGAAGGACACAAAAGAAGCUCAGCUGUGGAAAACCAAUUCAAGGAGCCACUGCCACACAAAGGAUCUCAAUCCACAAGACCUGUUUUUCAAGCUGUGAGAAGCAUGGCUGUGUUACCCAUAGGAUGAGAAGAGAAGCAGCAAAAAGAAGACCCGGUUCCAAAGGUGGGCUGGGGCUCAGGAGGGCAAUUUCCAUCCUGGAGGUACCUUGCUGCAACUCUUUGUAAAUCCACUGUGACACCUGACCUGGCGUUCCCAAAAGGGCUCAGACAGGAACAUUUGCUGGCCAUGACCAGGAAAAGGAUCUUCCUGGCAGGAAUGGGGGCUUGGAGGCCACAAACACCCAGCAAGGUGCCACGAAGCCCCAAGGGCACCACUUUCCCUUGCUGUUACCCCAACCAUUUCUCAGUGAGGCUGAGCAGCCCGUGCCAGGUUUAAAUUUAAUUUUGGUUUAAGUAGGACACAGGCUGGGCUGUCCUGCCCAGUGCUGGUGCAAGGAGAGGCUGUGAACCCUGUGAUGAAACCACCACCUAAACCCCAGCAUCUGCAGGGAGGUUUUAUAGGCAUUUCUCUCUCGUGGCAGUGUUUUCACAGUAAAUAAGGUUCAUGUUGGACAAGGUUUUGUGCUUUGUUUGUACCACUCCCAGUAUUUUAUUUUCUUUCAUUUUUAAUCUUGAUCCUGUUCUUUGCAGAGAGCAAUUCAGUUUAAAACGUGAUGUUUUCUAUCAGCAAGUCACAGGCUCAUGGUUUCUCUUCCAGCCUGCUAUCACAGGAAUAAAACCCCUCCAAUCACAUUGAAUUUAGGCUGCCUCUUGUCACAGUCAAGUGCAUGGCACCUCCUUAGAGCAGGUCCUUAAAUUAAAAUAUUGUAGAUUUUUUUGCUGUUGAAGCACUACUGCAGAAACAUGAGUGGCCAAGGAGAAAGGAGGGGUUUUUUUUCCCUCUGGCUGGAAUUUUUCACUAUAACCAUCCUCAGGGGAGUUCUCAUCUUCAAAAGAACCAUUCUUUCUAUACAAGCUGCAAAAAGAAUUAUUUAAUGACAUCAUAAAUUAAUACAGAGAGGCACAAAUUUUCCAAAAUGUGGAGAGAGAGAAAAAUAAAUUCAUGUUUGCCAAAAACACCCCAGCUCUUCCAGACUUAGGCCCCUCUUGAGCCUGCGAGCUGCCAAUGAUGCCAAAUUGAAUGGUGGGGCUUUUGGCAGGACUGAAGUUUAGCUUGUUUAAAUUUUGGCAAAUUUUCCUAUUACUCACAUUCUCAGCAAGCUGAUACAAAUAUUUGUUCUAUUUAGAGGGAAGUCCAAGCUCAGUGCUGGCACCGAGUGCUGCUGGGCUUGGUGGAACUGAGGCUGCCUGAGCCAAUAUUAAAUUUGGACAUCUACCUUAAAGAAAAACAGAAUUAAAAAAUUCCCUGGGCCUUUUAGUACAGAUUAGAGCACAUCAAUGGAAAACGGUCCUCGUGUGUAUUCAGGUUUUUCUCACUUGCUAAUUUUUGCUUUAAUCUGAUUUGAAAUGGGCCCGGUUUCCCUGAGCUUGGAUUGCCAUUCCCGGCUGCAACUCCGGGGCUGGAAAAGCCUCCACACACAUGAACCUCCACAUUCUUGAGAAUUAAAAGCUGUUUAAACUGUAGUAAAUCAAACUGGGACACAGUAAGCACACUUGAUCUCUUUUAAAGCUGUGCAGGUUGUUGGGAUUUUUUUUUAGUGAUGUCCCCAGUUUAGUGUUUCUGAUUUGAAAAGCAAACAGAGUGGAUCCUCCAGGACACUCGGGAUUGCUGUGCUCUGGUUCUUCAUCCCUGGGAAUGAUCCUGCUCAGCCAGGAUCUCGAUCAGGAUCAGCACCUGCCGAGCCUUUCCAGGUGGGAAAAGCAGGAGAAACCAAAUGGAACCUGGGUGCCUCACCUGGGAGCCUUGGCUUGGGAUUGGGACUGGACACAUAACCCAGGUUAGAAAUCUUGCAAUGAAAACAAAGCAAACUGAAAAAGAACAACCUGUUUCCAUCCCAUAAAUGAAUAUAAUCAGCUUUUUUAUUUUUCCUGUGCUCAGGUUGAGUAGGAUUUGUAAUGUAAAUAAUUCAAUAUUGCCUGAAUGUUUUUGUCAAAGUCACACAGGAGGGGGAUCCCACUAACAUGACUUUUUAGUCAUUUGGAAAUGGGAAAUCUGCUUUAAGUGGCUGAACUGGAUUCCUCUGAGUGGAAAAAGAUCAUCACUGGAGAAUGAUUCAUCCCAUGUAAUCUCAGUGUCUGAUCUCUCUCCAGUGCCUAUAAAAGGAGCCCAGAUGACCAGAUUAGCAUAUGUCCAAAUUUUGCACAUUUUUAUGCUAACUCAGCCUUUCCCAAUCAGGUCCUGUGCUCACAAAUCUCCUGUGCUAUUUUUAUAAGGAAAAGCUCAUUAUUUGGCACAGGGAUUCCCAGGGCACUCGCUCAGCUCCAGUGGCUGCUUUGGGACAGAGCCUGGGCCGUGCCCUUUGCAAAGGCUGCCAGGUAAAACUUGCAUUAAUUCCAUGACCAAGCUUUCUCUACACCCCCUGCUGAAAGGUUCGGGGAUGAUUCUUACAGGAAUUAUUUUUUAAACUGCCUUAAAUCAGUAAAUACUGCAUGGAUGAGCAGAAGGUACAUGAAAAAUGGUUAAAAAUAGCAGCAGUGAUUGCUCAUUAAAAAUGGCAUUGUUAUUGUGUUGGUCACCUUUGUGAAACAGGCAGAAGAUCCAGGCAGCUUUUCCUUUGCACCCUGGGCUGCUGACCCCACUCAUUUUGGGGUUACAGUGGCAGCAUUUGUCUGGUUCAGUGUUGAUCCAGUGUCACGAUGAGAAAUGAACUGAGCACUUCAGAUUCUGGGCCGUGACACCCCCAGACCUCUCCCCCCUCCCUCCAACCUUUGAUUCUUUACCAUUGUCACUGUCACUGAGCUGCCCCUGGGCACAGGGACGUGGCUUUGGUGCUCUGCUGAUCAGUGGUGCUCUUAACUCGGUGCUCAGAUCAACUCACGUGUCCUCUAAAACAAACACCAGAAAAAUGCCAAAUAAACCCAAACCCCUGCCAUGGGCACCUAAAAUCCGAUGGUGGAGCUUUGAGAUGGUGAAAAAAGGGUCAGGUGUGCACCUUGGCAAGUGUGAGGUUGGUGAAGUCAGGCAGCAGGAGACAGAAGAGAGACGAGGCAUCUU